CAAAACUUUGUUAACGAGUUCAAAAUCCGAAAAGCUUUUACCAAGUGAUUUUAAACCAUUGACGACAUCCGUAAAACGGGUGUACAUGUCAACAACGGUUUCGCUUGGUUUCAUAUGAAAAAGCUCGAAAUCAUGUAGUAAAAUAUUAACUUUCGAGUCUUUGACUCUACUAGUUCCCUCAUGCGUGAUUUCAAGAGUGCGCCAAAUAUCGAAAGCCGUUUCGCACAAAGAAACCCGAUUGAACUCAUUUUUGUCCAAAGCGCAAAAUAAGGCAUUCAUAUCCUUUACGUUUAAAGAAAAAUACUUCUUCUCUAAAUCCGACCAUUCGUUCAUCGGUUUAGAGGGAAGUUGAAAACCGUUUUCAACGAUAUUCC
This 374-nucleotide long non-coding RNA is filed under the name Musa acuminata (dwarf banana). Its description in RNAcentral is "long non-coding RNA (MACU_LNC010025)". The record is from RNAcentral. Lineage: Eukaryota; Viridiplantae; Streptophyta; Magnoliopsida; Zingiberales; Musaceae.